Molecule: ribosomal RNA, 934 nt
Filed under: Priestia megaterium
Lineage: Bacteria; Bacillati; Bacillota; Bacilli; Caryophanales; Bacillaceae
Description: bacterial SSU rRNA
Rfam family: Bacterial small subunit ribosomal RNA
Source: RNAcentral
ACAAGUACAAGAGUAACUGCUUGUACCUUGACGGUACCUAACCAGAAAGCCACGGCUAACUACGUGCCAGCAGCCGCGGUAAUACGUAGGUGGCAAGCGUUAUCCGGAAUUAUUGGGCGUAAAGCGCGCGCAGGCGGUUUCUUAAGUCUGAUGUGAAAGCCCACGGCUCAACCGUGGAGGGUCAUUGGAAACUGGGGAACUUGAGUGCAGAAGAGAAAAGCGGAAUUCCACGUGUAGCGGUGAAAUGCGUAGAGAUGUGGAGGAACACCAGUGGCGAAGGCGGCUUUUUGGUCUGUAACUGACGCUGAGGCGCGAAAGCGUGGGGAGCAAACAGGAUUAGAUACCCUGGUAGUCCACGCCGUAAACGAUGAGUGCUAAGUGUUAGAGGGUUUCCGCCCUUUAGUGCUGCAGCUAACGCAUUAAGCACUCCGCCUGGGGAGUACGGUCGCAAGACUGAAACUCAAAGGAAUUGACGGGGGCCCGCACAAGCGGUGGAGCAUGUGGGUUUAAUUCGAAGCAACGCGAAGAACCUUACCAGGUCUUGACAUCCCUCUGACAACUUCUAGAGAUAGAGCGUUCCCCUUCGGGGGGACAGAGUGACAGGUGGUGCAUGGUUGUCGUCAGCUCGUGUCGUGAGAUGUUGGGUUAAGUCCCGCAACGAGCGCAACCCUUGAUCUUAGUUGCCAGCAUUUAGUUGGGCACUCUAAGGUGACUGCCGGUGACAAACCGGAGGAAGGUGGGGAUGACGUCAAAUCAUCAUGCCCCUUAUGACCUGGGCUACACACGUGCUACAAUGGAUGGUACAAAGGGCUGCAAGACCGCGAGGUCAAGCCAAUCCCAUAAAACCAUUCUCAGUUCGGAUUGUAGGCUGCAACUCGCCUACAUGAAGCUGGAAUCGCUAGUAAUCGCGGAUCAGCUUCUGAAUAUGGGGGGU